Molecule: ribosomal RNA, 865 nt
Filed under: uncultured bacterium
Lineage: Bacteria
Description: bacterial SSU rRNA
Rfam family: Bacterial small subunit ribosomal RNA
Source: RNAcentral
ACGAACGCUGGCGGCGUGCUUAACACAUGCAAGUCGAACGGUGACGCACCUUCGGGUGCUGAUCAGUGGCGAACGGGUGAGUAACACGUGGGCAACCUGCCCCCGACUCUGGGAUAACCCCUCGAAAGAGGAGCUAAUACCGGAUAUCACCUGCCGAGGCAUCUCGGCGGGUCGAAAGUUUUUCGGUCAGGGAUGGGCCCGCGGCCUAUCAGCUAGUUGGUGGGGUAACGGCCUACCAAGGCGACGACGGGUAGCCGGCCUGAGAGGGCGACCGGCCACACUGGGACUGAGACACGGCCCAGACUCCUACGGGAGGCAGCAGUGGGGAAUAUUGCGCAAUGGGCGAAAGCCUGACGCAGCAACGCCGCGUGAGGGAUGACGGCCUUCGGGUUGUAAACCUCUUUCAGCAGGGACGAAGCGAAAGUGACUGUACCUGCAGAAGAAGCGCCGGCUAACUACGUGCCAGCAGCCGCGGUAAUACGUAGGGCGCAAGCGUUGUCCGGAUUUAUUGGGCGUAAAGAGCUCGUAGGCGGUUUGUCGCGUCGGAUGUGAAAACCCGGAACUCAACUCCGGGCCUGCAUUCGAUACGGGCAGACUUGAGUACUGUAGGGGAGACUGGAAUUCCUGGUGUAGCGGUGGAGUGCGCAGAUAUCAGGAGGAACACCGGUGGCGAAGGCGGGUCUCUGGGCAGAAACUGACGCUGAGGAGCGAAAGCGUGGGGAGCGAACAGGAUUAGAUACCCUGGUAGUCCACGCCGUAAACGGUGGGCACUAGGUGUGGGGACCAUUCCACGGUCUCUGCGCCGCAGCUAACGCAUUAAGUGCCCCGCCUGGGGAGUACGGCCGCAAGGCUAAAACUCAAAGGA